ACGAACGCUGGCGGCAUGCCUAACACAUGCAAGUCGAACGAGACCUUCGGGUCUAGUGGCGCACGGGUGCGUAACGCGUGGGAAUCUGCCCUUAGGUUCGGAAUAACUCCCCGAAAGGGGUGCUAAUACCGGAUAAUGUCUUCGGACCAAAGAUUUAUCGCCUUUGGAUGGGCCCGCGUUGGAUUAGCUAGUUGGUAGGGUAAAAGCCUACCAAGGCGACGAUCCAUAGCUGGUCUGAGAGGAUGAUCAGCCACACUGGGACUGAGACACGGCCCAGACUCCUACGGGAGGCAGCAGUGGGGAAUAUUGGACAAUGGGCGAAAGCCUGAUCCAGCAAUGCCGCGUGAGUGAUGAAGGCCUUAGGGUUGUAAAGCUCUUUUACCCGGGAUGAUAAUGACAGUACCGGGAGAAUAAGCUCCGGCUAACUCCGUG
RNAcentral lists this ribosomal RNA (432 nucleotides) under uncultured bacterium. Its description in RNAcentral is "partial 16S ribosomal RNA". It matches the Rfam family "Bacterial small subunit ribosomal RNA", at positions 29 to 507 of the family's 1533-position model. The record is from RNAcentral.